RNAcentral lists this ribosomal RNA (497 nucleotides) under uncultured bacterium. RNAcentral describes it as "partial 16S ribosomal RNA". It matches the Rfam family "Bacterial small subunit ribosomal RNA", at positions 28 to 507 of the family's 1533-position model. The record is from RNAcentral.
GAUGAACGCUGGCGGCGUGCCUAAUACAUGCAAGUCGAGCGAACAGACGAGGAGCUUGCUCCUCUGACGUUAGCGGCGGACGGGUGAGUAACACGUGGAUAACCUACCUAUAAGACUGGGAUAACUUCGGGAAACCGGAGCUAAUACCGGAUAAUAUAUUGAACCGCAUGGUUCAAUAGUGAAAGACGGUUUUGCUGUCACUUAUAGAUGGAUCCGCGCCGCAUUAGCUAGUUGGUAUGGUAACGGCUUACCAAGGCAACGAUGCGUAGCCGACCUGAGAGGGUGGUCGGCCACACUGGAACUGAGACACGGUCCAGACUCCUACGGGAGGCAGCAGUAGGGAAUCUUCCGCAAUGGGCGAAAGCCUGACGGAGCAACGCCGCGUGAGUGAUGAAGGUCUUCGGAUCGUAAAACUCUGUUAUUAGGGAAGAACAAAUGUGUAAGUAACUAUGCACGUCUUGACGGUACCUAAUCAGAAAGCCACGGCUAACUACGUG